GAAGCCCGUAAUCCCUCCAGGCCC
This 24-nucleotide non-coding RNA is filed under the name Arabidopsis thaliana (thale cress). Lineage: Eukaryota; Viridiplantae; Streptophyta; Magnoliopsida; Brassicales; Brassicaceae. The record is from RNAcentral.